AUGAACGCUGGCGGCGUGCCUAAUACAUGCAAGUCGAGCGAACAGACGAGGAGCUUGCUCCUCUGACGUUAGCGGCGGACGGGUGAGUAACCCGUGGAUAACCUACCUAUAAUACUGGGAUAACUUCGGGAAACCGGAGCUAAUACCGGAUAAUAUAUUGAACCGCAUGGUUCAAUAGUGAAAGUCGGUUUUGCUGUCACUUAUAGAUGGAUCCGCGCCGCAUUAGCUAGUUGGUAAGGUAACGGCUUACCAAGGCAACGAUGCGUAGCCGACCUGAGAGGGUGAUCGGCCACACUGGAACUGAGACACGGUCCAGACUCCUACGGGAGGCAGCAGUAGGGAAUCUUACGCAAUGGGCGAAAGCUUGACGGAGCAACGCCGCGUGAGUGAUGAAGGUCUUCGGAUCGUAAAACUCUGUUAUUAGGGAAGAACAAAUGUGUAAGUAACUAUGCACGUCUUGACGGUACCUAAUCAGAAAGCCACGGCUAACUACGUG
RNAcentral lists this ribosomal RNA (496 nucleotides) under uncultured bacterium. Its description in RNAcentral is "partial 16S ribosomal RNA". It matches the Rfam family "Bacterial small subunit ribosomal RNA", at positions 29 to 507 of the family's 1533-position model. The record is from RNAcentral.